UAUAGCGUUUAUGCAUUGAAGACACCAAAAACAUAUGGCUACAUUCAAGCGCUGCAGACUGAGGUGGUGAAGUGUAGAUUGGAAACAGAUAAAGGCAUGCCAAGAACAUGGACACUGAGGCCAGAUGAUCCACGCAAGCUCGGUCGACUUCCGCCUGUACCUCCCCCAUCCGUUGAAGAACUUGUACAAACACAAGUGAAAAGGGGUCUCGGUCCAGAAUUCAACACCAAUCCUCCCUCUGUAUAAGGAUGUUGUCAGACCUACGAUGACGACCAACACAGAGCAGAAAGCCGUCUGCAGAUGCAGAAUCUACAUCAUAGCAGAUACUGACGACAUCCUGCUCCAUUCCUCCUCUCUGAUGAACAAGACUCGGAGUCCCACACUUGAUUCAGGACCUCAUCAGCCAACCCAGAGGAAGUAUUCCAGCCUUUUCCCUCCGACGACCAUGCUUUCACAUGUGGAGAUGAUUCUCAUCCCAGCAACUUCACACUAGACUGAUCUGCUCCAGUGACAGCAGAAGGUCAUGGCCAAGGUCUCCAAAAAGCAGACAUCUGAUGCUUAGGUCACAAAAUCUGCCCCCUCAACCCCAUUACUGCAUCUAAUAAUUAUUUCCAUAACUGUAAUGAACAAAGAAAAUGUGAAUGUGAAAAUGUGUAUUCAGUCAGUGGUGUUUGCCACAGAUAAAACAUCGUCAAGAAGGAUUGAAUAUCUGUUGUGCAAUCAAACUUUCACAUCCUUUGGUCUAUGGGGUGUUUGUUGUGUAUAUACUGUGUAUUGCUGCUGUUACAUCAGUUAUAUUUAUCUAUUUUUUGCAGUUAAAUUGUAAUAAACAUUUGUCUUGUU
Long non-coding RNA from Melanotaenia boesemani (Boeseman's rainbowfish), 843 nucleotides. RefSeq lists it as uncharacterized. The transcript has 2 exons. Lineage: Eukaryota; Metazoa; Chordata; Actinopteri; Atheriniformes; Melanotaeniidae. The record is from RefSeq and is a predicted model, not a curated record.